AUUGAACGCUGGCGGCAUGCCUUACACAUGCAAGUCGAACGGCAGCACGGGAGCAAUCCUGGUGGCGAGUGGCGAACGGGUGAGUAAUGUAUCGGAACGUACCUUUCAGUGGGGGAUAACGUAGCGAAAGUUACGCUAAUACCGCAUAUUCUGUGAGCAGGAAAGCAGGGGAUCGCAAGACCUUGCGCUGAUUGAGCGGCCGAUAUCAGAUUAGCUAGUUGGUGAGGUAAAGGCUCACCAAGGCGACGAUCUGUAGCGGGUCUGAGAGGAUGAUCCGCCACACUGGAACUGAGACACGGUCCAGACUCCUACGGGAGGCAGCAGUGGGGAAUUUUGGACAAUGGGCGGCAAGCCUGAUCCAGCCAUGCCG
RNAcentral lists this ribosomal RNA (370 nucleotides) under uncultured bacterium. RNAcentral's name for it is "bacterial SSU rRNA". It matches the Rfam family "Bacterial small subunit ribosomal RNA", at positions 30 to 399 of the family's 1533-position model. The record is from RNAcentral.